GCUUUUAAAGGAAAAUAGCCAUCCGGUGCUUUUAGGAACCAAAACUCUUGGUGCAAAUCCAAGUAAAAGUAAUG
RNAcentral lists this transfer RNA (74 nucleotides) under Calumma hilleniusi. RNAcentral's name for it is "partial tRNA-Leu". Lineage: Eukaryota; Metazoa; Chordata; Lepidosauria; Squamata; Chamaeleonidae. The record is from RNAcentral.